This is a long non-coding RNA of Dreissena polymorpha, 1007 nucleotides long. RefSeq lists it as uncharacterized. The transcript has 4 exons. NCBI's taxonomy places the organism in Eukaryota, Metazoa, Mollusca, Bivalvia, Myida, Dreissenidae. The record is from RefSeq and is a predicted model, not a curated record.
UUAAAGGACAUAGUAAAACAGGUUCACCUCAUCACCUGAACCUGAAUCUCAACAAGAACCUCAACCUCAACCUAAACCUGAACCGUGUAAGUAAUCGAACGAGUUCAACUGCAGUGACUCAGGUACACGUUUGUAAACUUCCUGGCAAAGGUGUGAAGUUUUCCGAAAAUUGCCUGAUAUGUUUGCAAACAUUUCACUUGUUCGAAGCUUGGUAAACCUCUAAAAAGUGAUUUGAUCAGUUGCGGGAUAACCUUUUAAUUCGGAUGUGUAUUUAGAUGGCCACAAAAUCAUGUACAAAACAAAUCAGUGCUACGAUAUAAAUCGCGACGGUCCUCUUAUUUCUGUAUCAUUAAGACAGUUGUAUGCAGUUUUAUUAUCGAUGUUGUUGGCCUUGUUUAUGGUUGACUGAAUUGUUAUUAGAACGUUUUUAUUAUGCAGUAUUGCUAUUUUGCAUGAACCUUCCACAUCCGGCAAUACUAAAAAUAGACAUGUCUUCUUGAGUAUUGGCAAAACUGGGCAUUCCAUUUCUUCAACAGCCUGUGUUGUUUGGUGCCCAGAAGGAUACUGCUUGGACCAGUCCGAGGUUUGCGAUGGAUUUAGAGACUUUGAUAACGGGGUUGAUGAACUGAACUGCCCUCACCACGAAUGCGCACCAGACGAAUUUAAAUGCGGAACUGGAGAUUGCAUUGUUAUUAGUUUGGUAUGCGACGGACGACCAAACUGCGCUGAUACGACUGAUGAAUCUAACUGUCCACCAGCUUAAGUACAAAUGUAAAUGACGAUGUGUGACCACUAGCUAGACUGUCUCAAAAGUUACGACGAAGCCGCCUAUACGUCCGUAACCCAGACCACAACCACAACAAAACCUACAGGUAAGUGUUGACAUUUUUUGGACUAGAGACUGUUAACUUAGUGAACGUUAUGAAAGCAGUGUAAAGUUGUCGUAGCCUCCUGCUUAGAUGUCUUCUCCAUAUUUAAGAUUCUUCAUCAAUUAAUUAAGAUUUUUA